GUUAUUAUAUAGUUUAUAUGUAUGUGUGUGUGGCCAAUCAAAACUCAAUUGCAUGUGUAUGAUUGUAUGUACUUUUAUAAUCAAUUGAAAUAUUUGCGUGUCAUAUUAGUUUGAUGUACGUUUAUAUAGAACACUUUUUUUUCCACAUUUAGGCUUUAGUACCCCCCCCCCUCCGCUUUUUUUAAGGAGAAUAACUUUUGACUGUCAAGCCAAUUAGUAAAUUCUCUAAGCUGGCUUUAUUUUCUAUAGAAAGUAACAUUAGUAGUUGUGGAACGCCAUGGCUCCGUUAAAGAAUCGUCGUUAUAUUUCUUCAAAAGAAAUAACUAAAAAUAUGACUUUAUAUACAAAUGGUUCAUUUAAAAGUGAAGUGGAUAGAAAUACAUUAGAGUAAGUUCAA
Molecule: long non-coding RNA, 397 nt
Organism: Lucilia cuprina (Australian sheep blowfly)
Lineage: Eukaryota; Metazoa; Arthropoda; Insecta; Diptera; Calliphoridae
Exons: 2
Source: RefSeq, a predicted model, not a curated record